RNAcentral lists this long non-coding RNA (250 nucleotides) under Gossypium barbadense (sea-island cotton). RNAcentral's name for it is "long non-coding RNA (GBAR_LNC016457)". The record is from RNAcentral. Lineage: Eukaryota; Viridiplantae; Streptophyta; Magnoliopsida; Malvales; Malvaceae.
CCGGGUCGUGUCUCACACGGCUGAGUCACACGCUCAUGUUUUAGGCCGUGUGGACCCAAAAUGUACCUAAAAUCAAACUGUUACAAGACCAUUUUAAUCCUUUUCACUUAAACCAUAUAGGCACACAUAAAAGGGUUUCAAACACCAAUCAAACAUAUGUAAACAUGCCAUUUCAUUCAUCUUAAAUCACCUAACCAAUGUACCACUCAUAAGCACCACAAUUUCAUCAAACAUCAUUUACUAAAUCAAG